This 253-nucleotide ribosomal RNA is filed under the name uncultured Nitrosospira sp. RNAcentral's name for it is "partial 16S ribosomal RNA". It matches the Rfam family "Bacterial small subunit ribosomal RNA", at positions 524 to 776 of the family's 1533-position model. The record is from RNAcentral. Lineage: Bacteria; Pseudomonadati; Pseudomonadota; Betaproteobacteria; Nitrosomonadales; Nitrosomonadaceae.
UACGUAGGGUGCGAGCGUUAAUCGGAAUUACUGGGCGUAAAGCGUGCGCAGGCGGUUUGAUAAGUCAGAUGUGAAAUCCCCGGGCUUAACCUGGGAACUGCGUUUGAAACUAUCAGGCUAGAGUGUGGCAGAGGGGGGUAGAAUUCCACGUGUAGCAGUGAAAUGCGUAGAGAUGUGGAGGAAUACCGAUGGCGAAGGCAGCCCCCUGGGCCGAUACUGACGCUCAGGCACGAAAGCGUGGGGAGCAAACAGG